Molecule: ribosomal RNA, 102 nt
Filed under: Treponema sp.
Lineage: Bacteria; Pseudomonadati; Spirochaetota; Spirochaetia; Treponematales; Treponemataceae
Description: partial 23S ribosomal RNA
Rfam family: Bacterial large subunit ribosomal RNA
Source: RNAcentral
CCCCUGAAGGCGCCAGGAAGACUACCUGGUUGAUAGGCCGGAGGUCCAAGCGCGGCAACGCGUUCAGCCGACCGGUACUAAUCCGCCGCGAGGCUUGACCAU